Vespula pensylvanica (western yellowjacket) is the source of this 2006-nucleotide RNA transcript. It is a transcript of the gene named synaptic vesicular amine transporter, with no coding region annotated. Lineage: Eukaryota; Metazoa; Arthropoda; Insecta; Hymenoptera; Vespidae. The transcript has 13 exons. The record is from RefSeq and is a predicted model, not a curated record.
GGAUCGAGAAGAGGAAAAGCCGAAGAAGCAGACGCAGAGAGACGCAGACGACGGCGGCCAGAGCGACGGCCCUGAGCCGGUUACAACGGGGUGAGAUGCACCCUUAUCGCUCUUAUCGCUAUCAAUCGACUGUGGGGUUUCCAUCUGGGAGCACCGCAAAUACAAGAACAAGACUGUUCCAACAAAGUUCUGGGUUUAUCCUAGACUAGCACGUACACAACUGAAGGAAUCAAGAACCGGAAACGAACGACUUCAUUCUUCUUUAUUAUUCUAUCGAAUCGGAUAAAGGAUAAAGAAGAAGAGAAUGGGAACCGCUGAAUUGAGUGCUUGGCUUCAGCGAUGUCGAGAAUCACGAAGGCUUGUCCUCGUGAUAGUUGCCAUCGCUUUACUACUCGACAAUAUGCUCUUAACAACGGUCGUUCCAAUUAUUCCGGAAUUUCUCUACGACAUAAAACACCCUAACGCAACUCUAAGCGAGCAUCUCGAAGGAAACGUAAAUCAUAGAUCAGGGAUUACAACCACUACAACGACUACUGCUGCGACAACGACUAUUACAACUACCACGACUACAACCUCAUCGAUGUCAACACCGUCAACACCGAGAUGUCCUUGUCCUCUUAAUAUAUCUAAUAAUAAUUCUCCGUUGGAAUUUCUUUCUAUUACAACAAUGUCUCCGGAAUUGACAGAAUUGACAACGAUAAAUUCGACGACAUCCGAACAAAAAGAAAAGGAACAAAGGCAUAAAGAAUUAUUGGAAGAAACAGUAGCCGUAGGAAUGAUGUUCGCAUCGAAAGCCUUCGUACAAUUGCUUGCUAAUCCUGUUGUUGGACCUCUUACUCAUAGAAUAGGCUACAGUAUUCCAAUGUUCACUGGAUUCAUUAUUAUGUUCAUAUCGACGUUGAUAUUUGCAUUUGGUCGAAGUUAUGGGAUAUUAUUUUUGGCACGUGCACUACAGGGUAUUGGUUCCUCGUGUUCGAGUGUGUCAGGUAUGGGUAUGUUGGCGGAGAGAUAUCAGGAUGAUAAAGAACGUGGUAAUGCGAUGGGUAUAGCACUUGGUGGACUUGCUCUUGGUGUUUUAAUUGGGCCACCAUUCGGUGGAGUUAUGUACGAAUUUGUUGGAAAGUCUGCACCAUUUUUAGUACUCUCAGCAUUGGCUCUUGGCGAUGGACUUUUACAACUUUUGAUGCUUCAACCAUCUGUAGUGUACACGGAAGCCGAACCACCAUCUUUGAAAUCAUUGGUUACUGAUCCAUAUAUUAUUUUAGCUGCUGGUGCAAUAACAUUCGCAAACAUGGGCAUCGCUAUGUUGGAACCAAGCUUACCUAUAUGGAUGAUGGAUACGAUGGGUGCCAGUCGUUGGAAGCAAGGAGCGACAUUUUUACCUGCUAGCAUUAGUUAUUUAAUUGGAACUAACUUAUUUGGUCCCCUUGGUCACAGGAUGGGCAGGUGGUUAGCGUCGUUAAUCGGUCUCAUUGUAAUUGGUCUCUGUUUGAUGUGCAUACCUUUGGCCAGCAGUAUCAAUCAUUUAAUCAUUCCUAACGCUGGAUUAGGAUUUGCUAUUGGCAUGGUCGACAGUUCAAUGAUGCCUGAAUUAGGAUAUUUGGUAGAUAUAAGGCAUACUGCUGUUUACGGAAGUGUUUAUGCAAUCGGGGAUGUGGCAUUUUGUUUGGGCUUCGCCAUAGGACCCGCAUUAAGCGGUACGCUGGUUAACACUAUAGGAUUCGAGUGGAUGCUCUUUGGAAUUGCUAUUUUGAAUUUCAUGUACGCACCCUUAAUGUAUUUCCUCAGAGCGCCGCCGACGAAAGAGGAGAAGAAGUCGCUGAUAAUCGGCGAGAAGUCGUCCGUGCGCUACGUAACGUACCAGAACGAAGAGGAUGAUCAAUAGAUCGCUAAUCAAUCGACAAACUGUGACGUUUUAAACACGGUAAAUCUCAACUCUUUUCUUUUCUUUUUAUUUUAUUAUUAUUAUUAUUAUUAUUAUUAUUAUUAUUAUUAUUAUUAUUAUU